Molecule: long non-coding RNA, 1225 nt
Filed under: Pan paniscus (pygmy chimpanzee)
Lineage: Eukaryota; Metazoa; Chordata; Mammalia; Primates; Hominidae
Description: lncRNA (ENSPPAG00000045608.1)
Source: RNAcentral
UGAAUCCAUUCCCAGCCUCACUGCCAGCUCCUGAGACAAAGCCCACGUCAUUCCUUCCCUAGAUUAAUCUCACCAGGAGUCUCAUGAUGGAUCCUCUGCCCCAGGCCAAAUUCCCUUGACAUCCAUCUCCACCUGACCGCCAGAAGUAUCUUUCCAAACAUGGGUCACCAUGCAUGUUUCAGCUUAAAAUCUGCCCAUGAGUCCUCUUUUCCACCAGUGCUGAAAUCAAGCUCCCCUAAAAUGAUUCACGAGGACAUCACACCAGGUGCCCCUCGGAACAGAUGCUCAGCCGAGACGGUUGUGUCGCAGACACCUGGGAGGAGAGGGACUGCAGGUUCCUCAACUCCCUGUGAAAAAAGCAUGCAGACUGUGGAGCUGCCACUUCCCAUGAUCUCAGAGACUUCAUAUGCAUCCAGGUUCACCUAUCACAACCAUAAUGAUCUUGUAUCUCCUUUGGGUUUGUGGGGAGUUUUCUCUCGGCUAUCUACACUCAGUGAACGUGGGAGUGCAGACACCUCAUUGAGAUCCUGACUUCGUUCUUUUAGAUAUAACAUGAACUUCGAGGACAAUAUGCUAAGUGACAUAAGCCAGUCAUCAAAGGGCAAAAACUGCAUGACGCCACUUGUAUGAGGUAUAUAAAGUAGUCAAACUCAUAGAAACAGAGAGUAGAAUGGUAUUUGCCAGGGGCUCAGAGAGGGAAAAAAGGAGAGAUGCUCUUCAACAGUUAGAAACUUUCAGUUUCAUAAAAUGAGUAUGUUCUUCAGAUCUGCUCCAUAUCAUUGUGCCUGUAAUAAGCAGUUCUGUCAUGUACAUUUAAAAAUGUGAUGAGGGUAGAUCUCACCUUAAGUGUUCUUACCACAAUAAAAAUAAAUUGCAAAAUAGGAUAAAGAGGAUGCUGAUUGAAUUAAUUUGACAAGGCCUAACACAGAGAUUGACCCAAAUGCCCAUCUUUUUGUGUCUAAUAAACUGACACUUCAAAGAUGGUUAUAAUACAUCACACCUAGAAUGUGCAGAUUAAACUAAAAUUUAUGGAACACAUGCAUUAUGCACCUAUAAGUUUUCUCCAACAAUAAUGCACACACUAAUAGGAUUCAAUCACUUUGCUAUAAAUUCAAAUUGACAGUUAUAAGGAGUGCCCAAAUAAUUACAAUGUAUGUAAAUUAUUUUUGAAACUAAUAGGCAUCAUGUCCAUGUAAGAUGUUUAUAUAAAGAAUUUUACAUCCUC